GUUGACAUACAAUGCAUUCUGGGUUUCACAUAAUCGUCUGUCGGACCAAAGAGGCUAUAACAAAAUGAGAUCUUCAGGCUCAAAGCAUCAGUCCACUAGAUAUGAACAGUUGACCGGCCAGAUAGGACCAGUCAGCCAGCCAGAUAUGAACAGUCGGAUAGGACAAAUGGGCUGGACCAGUCGAAAGGACUAGCAUGCCAGCUAGAUGGGACAAGUAGGCCGGUCAGAUUGGUCCAGUCGGUCAGCUGGCCAGCUGUACCAGUUGGCCGGACAGAUAUGAACAUUUGGCCGACCAGAUAGGACAAGAGAGCUAUAGUACCAGAUAGUACUAGUUGGCCGGCCAGAUAUGAACAUUUGGCCGGCCAGAUAGGACAAGAGAGCUAUAGUACCAGAUAGUACCAGUCGGCCGGCCAGAUAGGACCAGUCGGCCGGCCAGAUAGGACCAGUCGGCCGGCCAGAUGGGACGAGUCGGCCGAUCAGCCUGAAUAGUUCCAGUCGGCCAGACAGCCAGAUAGUACCAGUUGGCCGGCCAGAUGGGACCAGUUGGCUGGCCAGCCAGAUAGUAACAGUCACCUUCAUCUCCAAGUCCGACAACUAUUCAGUCAUACCCGCCAUCUUGUGACUCAUUCCGAUAUAGAAUUAUUCAAUACUUCAUGCUUUCUCUUUGCUUGAGCUCUGUCUCAGCCAAUCAGAAGAGCUCCUUAAAUGGUCAGAUGAAGACUGUUGCCCACGGUGACAAGAGUGGCAAAUGUUUUCGGGUUUGCUUUUCUUUCUUUUCUCCCUUACCCACUUAUUUUUCCCUCCCUCUUUUAUUUGGGUUCCGAUGUGAUUUCUAAUGGAAACAAACAAAAUAAAAAAAAUACUUUUUG
Oncorhynchus nerka (sockeye salmon) is the source of this 869-nucleotide long non-coding RNA. RefSeq lists it as uncharacterized. The transcript has 2 exons. The record is from RefSeq and is a predicted model, not a curated record. Lineage: Eukaryota; Metazoa; Chordata; Actinopteri; Salmoniformes; Salmonidae.